RNAcentral lists this ribosomal RNA (231 nucleotides) under Triticum aestivum (bread wheat). Its description in RNAcentral is "partial small subunit ribosomal RNA". Lineage: Eukaryota; Viridiplantae; Streptophyta; Magnoliopsida; Poales; Poaceae. The record is from RNAcentral.
AUGAGAAUGAGACAUCUAUUGUGCCAGGCCAUCGCUUAUUCAUAUGAUGCAGAGCAGGAUGCAUUUAUAAUUAAUGGGAGACCAUGUAGGAUCACACUAAAAGAUGUGGAGCAUUUAACAGGCCUGCCCUGCAUGGGGAAGAAUCAAGUCUCUUCAAAUCACAACGAUACUUUGGAGUUGUGGAAGGAACUGAAAAACCCCAAUGACAGAAAAGUAACGUUGAAAGGAUAG